This 167-nucleotide non-coding RNA is filed under the name uncultured Ruminococcus sp. RNAcentral's name for it is "malK-I RNA". It matches the Rfam family "malK-I RNA". The record is from RNAcentral. Lineage: Bacteria; Bacillati; Bacillota; Clostridia; Eubacteriales; Oscillospiraceae.
GCGUGCGGUCACUCCACAUUAUGAUCGUACGUACAUAAAAGAAGGAGGAUUAUUCCCGCGGCUCGCGGUGCGGCAGCGUGGAGACCUGUCGUAAUGCGGUGCAUCAACUAUUAUGAUGCCGCGAGGCGGUUUUGGAGGAGUCCUGACCGUCAGAGCAUAAUAAAUGU